Molecule: ribosomal RNA, 484 nt
Filed under: uncultured bacterium
Lineage: Bacteria
Description: partial 16S ribosomal RNA
Rfam family: Bacterial small subunit ribosomal RNA
Source: RNAcentral
AUUGAACGCUGGCGGCAGGCCUAACACAUGCAAGUCGAGCGGAUGAAGGGAGCUUGCUCCUGGAUUCAGCGGCGGACGGGUGAGUAAUGCCUAGGAAUCUGCCUGGUAGUGGGGGAUAACGUCCGGAAACGGGCGCUAAUACCGCAUACGUCCUGAGGGAGAAAGUGGGGGAUCUUCGGACCUCACGCUAUCAGAUGAGCCUAGGUCGGAUUAGCUAGUUGGUGGGGUAAAGGCCUACCAAGGCGACGAUCCGUAACUGGUCUGAGAGGAUGAUCAGUCACACUGGAACUGAGACAAGGUCCAGACUCCUACGGGAGGCAGCAGUGGGGAAUAUUGGACAAUGGGCGAAAGCCUGAUCCAGCCAUGCCGCGUGUGUGAAGAAGGUCUUCGGAUUGUAAAGCUCUUUAAGUUGGGAGGAAGGGCAGUAAGUUAAUACCUUGCUGUUUUGACGUUACCAACAGAAUAAGCACCGGCUAACUUCGUG